This is a long non-coding RNA of Bolinopsis microptera, 1298 nucleotides long. RefSeq lists it as uncharacterized. The transcript is spliced from 7 exons. The record is from RefSeq and is a predicted model, not a curated record. Lineage: Eukaryota; Metazoa; Ctenophora; Tentaculata; Lobata; Bolinopsidae.
GUAAAAAAGAAGCGUACGAUCCUAUGUUAAGAUGGCGACCUAGUUAGUUAAGAACAUGAAAACGUGUUGACGUAGACUCCUUAUAUCUUAAAAAGAUAAAAGCAGACGAGAUAUGUCGGAGCUUAUUAGCAACUCUCGUCAUGAAGCAGAUCAGAUUCUUCUCCACGACAGCAAGUGUACUAACACGGACCUAUUAAGUGUUUAUUGCUGUAAACGAUCCUAAUGUAUCACACAGCCAUGAGCCACCGCAAGAAGGAGCUGUUCCUUCGUCCAUACAAGGUGCUUAUAAUUGAGAAACAAAGAACAACUGUGAAAAGGCUGUUUUCCUGAAGCAAUGAAGUACAAUGAUGAGCUAGCGAGACUAAAUCACCAGUAUCAAUAAAGUAAGUUACCUAAAAUUAUUGUUUAUUUACUUAUUCACUUGUUAAGAUUUUCUCGCAAAAUAUUUGUAGACUUAAAUCGAUAUUUGACAUUCAGAAAAACUUAUUAGUGUAACAAUGUUCAAUUCUUUCCAAGACGCAGUUACCCCAGUAAAAAAGAAGCGUACGCUCAUAUGUUAAGAUGGCAACCUAAGUUAAGAACAUGAAAACGUGUUGACGUAGACUCCGUAUAUCUUAAAAGAUAAAAGCAGACGAUAUUUGUCGGAGCUUAUUAGCAACUCUCGUCAUGAAGCGGAUCACAUUCUUCUCGACGACAGCAAGUGUACUAACACGGACCUAUUGAGUGAUAGUUGAUGGUAAGACACUCAAGCUUUUGAUAGAAUAAUUGUGCGUUUUAUAGUACUUAACGAUUAGCCUUGUGUUACUGACGAUUUAAUGUUGGGGAAUUUUUCUGCUAUUUCUGAGUUUGUUUACAAUCAUUCUCAAAUACCCAAGAUAAGAAUUUAUCCUUUAAAGUAUCUUUAUCUUAGCUAAUCUGUGACUUUGAAUUUACAUUAGCUUUUUUGAGGGAGAGACGAAAUUCUAACCUUAAUAUCUCAGAACAAUCCAGAAUAUAGUUUAAUGUCACAUUUAAGUUUUAACAAAUACAUUUGCAGGUUUAUUGCUGUAAACGAUCCUAAUGUAUCAUACAGACACCGCAAUAAGGAGCUGUUCCUUCGUCCAUACAAGUUACCCCAGUAAAAAAGAAGCGUACGAUCCUAUGUUAAGAUGGCAACCUAAGUUAAGAACAUGAAAACGUGUUGACGUAGACUCCACAAAUCUUAAAAAGAUAAAAGCAGACGAGAUAUAUCGGAGCUUAUUAGCAACUCUCGUCAUGAAGCGGAUCAGAUUCUCCUCCACGACAGCAAGUGUACUUAC